This is a small nucleolar RNA of Otolemur garnettii (small-eared galago), 92 nucleotides long. The record is from Ensembl. NCBI's taxonomy places the organism in Eukaryota, Metazoa, Chordata, Mammalia, Primates, Galagidae.
GUCCUUUUGUAAUUCCUACCCAUGAUGAUUGAGUUUUUAUGAGUGUCUGUGAGACUUGCCUCCCUCGAUGUCAGCAUAUGACCUAACUGAGG